Molecule: long non-coding RNA, 568 nt
Organism: Olea europaea var. sylvestris
Lineage: Eukaryota; Viridiplantae; Streptophyta; Magnoliopsida; Lamiales; Oleaceae
Exons: 2
Source: RefSeq, a predicted model, not a curated record
UUUUCUUCUGUUCCAUUGCUUGGCCUCCUGUCUCUCUUCCUCACCACCACCCUUCCGCCACCCUUGGCCAUAGCCCUCACAACGACAAGCCUCCGCUUUCGAAAGCCAUCCACCACCGCAGUUGAUGUCCCCGUUUUCAACGUAGACUUUUUCAAAAUGGAUUUUCCCGAGUGAUUUAAGAUGUAUGUGGUGGAGAGUAGAGAAGGAUGUUAAAGCACACAACUUGUGAUUUUAAUGAUCCUGGAUAGGCUUGGUUAGAUUCACCAUCAAUCAAGUUCAACAUUUUGCACAAUUGGAAUGAAAUGGAUCUUGAAAUGGUGUUGUCCCGGGCUUACAUAUGGCACACGAUGUUCAAUAAGUCUCCGAGCCAACUAGCUGGUUGAAGAGCAAGUAACAAUAUCUGUAAGAUGGGCCUUUUUGUGCUACCUUUAUUUGAAGUUUUCACAGAUUUGUUUUUGUGAAGAAUUUCAAUUUUCCGUUCUGUAUUAUGAUUUGUAAUAUUUGUGUUCUUGGUUACUGAAGAAAAGGGAAAGGGAAAAUAAACUCUGAUGUCCAUUUUUUGAUGAUA